Molecule: ribosomal RNA, 233 nt
Filed under: uncultured bacterium
Lineage: Bacteria
Description: partial 16S ribosomal RNA
Rfam family: Bacterial small subunit ribosomal RNA
Source: RNAcentral
CGGGUGAGUAACGCGUGAGGAACCUGCCUCAAAGAGGGGGACAACAGUUGGAAACGACUGCUAAUACCGCAUAAGCCCACGGCUCGGCAUCGAGCAGAGGGAAAAGGAGCAAUCCGCUUUGAGAUGGCCUCGCGUCCGAUUAGCUAGUUGGUGAGGUAACGGCCCACCAAGGCGACGAUCAGUAGCCGACCUGAGAGGGUGAUCGGCCACAUUGGGACUGAGACACGGCCCAA